This 226-nucleotide unclassified non-coding RNA is filed under the name Hevea brasiliensis (rubber tree). The record is from RNAcentral. Lineage: Eukaryota; Viridiplantae; Streptophyta; Magnoliopsida; Malpighiales; Euphorbiaceae.
AGAAGAAGAAGAAGAAGAAGCAGGAGCAGAAGAAGAAGCCAUUAGAUUCCUGACAACACUUUGAUCAAUAGUCUUGAAAGAGAAAGAUAGAGUAUAACUUUUGUCUUCCACGGCUUGAACGGGACAGAAAGCAGCAAGAGGGAGAAUAGAAAGACUGGGUUUUUAUUGUGACAAUUAUUGGAAGUGACAAAGAAAGUGGAUAAUGUGUUCAGAGAGAGAGAGAGGA